Molecule: ribosomal RNA, 528 nt
Filed under: uncultured bacterium
Lineage: Bacteria
Description: partial 16S ribosomal RNA
Rfam family: Bacterial small subunit ribosomal RNA
Source: RNAcentral
UGGGGAAUCUUGCGCAAUGGGCGAAAGCCUGACGCAGCCAUGCCGCGUGAGUGAUGAAGGCCUUAGGGUUGUAAAACUCUUUCACCGGGGACGAUAAUGACGGUACCCGGAGAAGAAGCCCCGGCUAACUUCGUGCCAGCAGCCGAGGUAAUACGAAGGGGGCUAGCGUUGCUCGGAAUUACUGGGCGUAAAGGGCGCGUAGGCGGAUCAGCAAGUUGGGGGUGAAAGCCCGGGGCUCAACCUCGGAAUUGCCUUCAAAACUGCUGAUCUAGAGUACGGGAGAGGUGUGUGGAACUCCGAGUGUAGAGGUGAAAUUCGUNAGAUAUUCGGAAGAACACCAGUGGCGAAGGCGACACACUGGCCCGUUACUGACGCUGANGGCGCGAAAGCGUGGGAGCAAACGGAUUAGAUCCCUGUAGUCCACGCUGUAAACGAUGAUUGCUAGUUGUCGGCAGGCAUGCCUGUCGGUGACGCAGCUAACGCAUUAAGCAAUCCGCCUGGGGAGUACGGUCGCAAGAUUAAAAACUC